CCGAAAUACUCAAAAAAGCCUAAUUUUCUAUAAUGCUGCGUUUGGUUCGGGUAUAAAUAAAUACUAUUUAUUUCAGAAAUAAAUAUAAGUUCAGGUAUAAGCAGAAAUUAGAUCAAUUUUAUGUUUAGAUGAAAAUUAAGUUGCUCCUACGAAUAAGAUAAAUAGUGUUUGGAUGGUUAGAUUGGAAAAAAGAUAAUAAGAGUUAUAAUUUUAAAUUAAAAUUAUUUUAUUUAAUUAAUUAACAUCACAAUAUUAUUUAAAAAUAAUUUAAUAAAUUAAUAAAUUUAUUAGUUAUGAUUAUUGUAUAAAAUAAUAAAAAUAUAUUAAUUAAUUAAUUAAAUAUAAAAAUAAUUUAAUUUUUUAAUUAGUUACUAAAUUAUUUUAGCUAGAUAACUAGUAAAAAAAAUUAAUUAGAUUAAUAAAAAUAUUAAUGGUUGAUCAAUAUAAAUAUUAGUUUAUGAAUAAAUACAUUAAAUUAUCAAUAGUUAAUUAUAAAUAAUAAAUAAUUUAAUUAUUUUAUUAUUUAACCAAUAAAUAAUAAUUUAAAUAUAUUAAUUAGAUUAAUUAAUAAUUUAAUACCAUAAUUAACAUUAAAUUUAAACUUUAAUUAACAUUGUUUCUACUUGGGAACAAGCUUAUUCCAGAAAAAAAUGGUGGAAUAGCAGUUUCAGCCUUAUACCAGCUUAUUUUAAAAAUUUGAAAAUUACUGUUCUCGAGUACCAAAUACAGCGUUUGGGAACAAAGAAGGGAACAACCCGGCAUUUGGGUUCGAAAUUGUCCAUCGAUGUUGAUUAUAGAUAAUGCAUAUUUUUCUUCGCUUCUUCUGUGAUAGCAAUAUUUGAUAAUAAAAAUAACCCUGUAUGACUAAAAUCAGUUGAAGAGAAAUAUCGCGUAUCACGCAUAAAAGAUAUAUCUAUAUCUGUACUACUUUAAUAAUUAU
RNAcentral lists this long non-coding RNA (940 nucleotides) under Ananas comosus (pineapple). RNAcentral's name for it is "long non-coding RNA (ACOM_LNC017370)". Lineage: Eukaryota; Viridiplantae; Streptophyta; Magnoliopsida; Poales; Bromeliaceae. The record is from RNAcentral.